GACUAAGCCGAUUCAACGCUGGUUAUAAAGCUCUGAAGAUUCCAGAGGUAUCUCGAGAGAAGGAAUCUAGACAAGAUAGGUACGAGUAUUACUUUUGCUUUAAAUGCAAUUCUUUUCAAAUAUGGAAGUGUAUUCUUUAGUCUGAUACGUUUUGGGGCUU
Long non-coding RNA from Bombus impatiens (common eastern bumble bee), 160 nucleotides. RefSeq lists it as uncharacterized. The record is from RefSeq and is a predicted model, not a curated record. The transcript is spliced from 2 exons. Lineage: Eukaryota; Metazoa; Arthropoda; Insecta; Hymenoptera; Apidae.